UAGGGAAUCUUCCACAAUGGACGAAAGUCUGAUGGAGCAACGCCGCGUGAGUGAAGAAGGGUUUCGGCUCGUAAAGCUCUGUUGGUAGUGAAGAAAGAUAGAGGUAGUAACUGGCCUUUAUUUGACGGUAAUUACUUGAAAGUCACGGCUAACUACGUGCC
RNAcentral lists this ribosomal RNA (161 nucleotides) under uncultured bacterium. Its description in RNAcentral is "partial 16S ribosomal RNA". It matches the Rfam family "Bacterial small subunit ribosomal RNA", at positions 355 to 509 of the family's 1533-position model. The record is from RNAcentral.